UGGGGAAUAUUGCACAAUGGGGGAAACCCUGAUGCAGCGACGCCGCGUGAACGAAGAAGGUAUUCGUAUCGUAAAAUUCUGUCCUAUGGGAAGAUAAUGACAGUACCAUAGAAGAAAGCUCCGGCUAAAUACGUGCCAGCAGCCGCGGUAAUACGUAUGGAGCGAGCGUUGUCCGGAAUUAUUGGGCGUAAAGGGUACGCAGGCGGUUUAAUAAGUCGAAUGUUAAAGAUCGGGGCUCAACCCCGCAAAGCAUUGGAAACUGAUAAACUUGAGUAGUGGAGAGGAAAGUGGAAUUCCUAGUGUAGUGGUGAAAUACGUAGAUAUUAGGAGGAAUACCAGUAGCGAAGGCGACUUUCUGGACACAAACUGACGCUGAGGUACGAAAGCGUGGGGAGCAAACAGG
Molecule: ribosomal RNA, 403 nt
Filed under: bacterium
Lineage: Bacteria
Description: partial 16S ribosomal RNA
Rfam family: Bacterial small subunit ribosomal RNA
Source: RNAcentral